UACGUCGUCACUCAGUCUAACAUGUCUUCCCUUACCUUACAUUAGAAUUAUUUAUUUACGACUCAAGUUCAUGGACGGCGGAAGUUUCUUAAGCUAUCGACGACUGCCAUGGACACUAGUUCACACAGUUCAUUGCGUAUUAAAGUGAUUUCCGAGCUAGUAAUAUUAGUUGUGCGAGUAAGUUGACGUGAAAAGUGCAAUAAAUAUAAAAAUGAGCGUUGAAAAACGUAAAAUAACUUUUGACAAGCGUAAAAAGUAUGUCAAUCAUCUAUCAGUGUUCAAACAGAGAACAAAGAAAGAUGAUAAUAAUGAAUUGUCUGAGCGAAUAAUCAUCACUGCUCGUAAAACUGGUGAGCUUAAUUUGUCUUCAAGAGGAUUAUCUACGGUUCCGCGGAGAGUAUGGACAAUAAAUGAAUUAACGAAGGAAGAGAUCGAAGAGCUGCAUGUGAAUUUAGAUUUUGAUGAAGAUCGAGACCGUUGGUGGGAACAAGAAUCAUUAAAAACACUGAAUCUCUCUUCAAAUAGUUUGACAUCUAUCGAUCCGGAAAUUCAAAAUUUAUCUGAUCUGAUUGACUUUGAUCUUCAUGAUAAUUUAAUUGAAGAAUUACCGGAUCAAGUUCGAAUGCUAUUAAAACUUAGGAAACUAAAUUUAUCUCACAAUAACCUGAAUAAAAUAAAUACUAAUUUAUUUACAUUGGAAAAUUUACGGCAGCUAAAUUUAUCCCACAAUAAUAUUAAAGAGUUGGAUCCAUCAAUUGGUGAUCUCGUUAUGCUCGAGUCAUUAAACUUGUCGUAUAAUAAUAUUACGAAAUUGCCUAUUGGAUUGGGAUACCUAGUGCGAUUGUGUAAUCUUGAUUUAAAUCACAAUCUGUUGAUAGAAUUACCACCGGAUAUUAUGAGCAUGAGAGUUUUAAAAAAACUUGAUGCAAGUUCUAAUAAUUUGGAAGUAACUCCUCCUCUGGGUGAAAUGAGAAAACUAGAGAUCCUUAAUCUUCAAGACAAUAAUUUGUCUGUAUUUCCUGAUGUAAUUGGUUGUACUGCUUUACGUGAAAUCUAUCUUUCUAAUAAUCAAAUAACUGAAUUUGAAAUGGAAUGCUUAGAAGGUAUUGGCCAAUUAAAAUCUCUUGUGAUGGCAAAUAAUAAAAUCGAAACAAUCCCUGAUGACAUCAUUAAAUUACUUAAUUUAGAACGUCUUGAUUUAUCCUCAAACAAACUAACUUUUGUGUCAAACUCAUUAUGCAUUAUGCCAAAUUUAAAGCAUCUAAUUAUUGAUGGAAAUAAAAUUAAAAAUAUAAGAAGAGAUAUUAUUCAAUGCGGAACGCCAAGAAUUUUGAGACACUUGAGACAAGGUUUUGAUUCCGACUCUGUAGAUUUGAGUCGAUCAUCGUCACCAUGUCCUACUAUGAUCCCUGGUCCUGACAAAUACAUGAUGAAACAUACAAAACUACUGAGUUUAGCGGCUCAGAAUCUUGAGCAAAUACCUGACAAUGUUUUGGAAGAUGCAAGUGAAGCUAAAGUCACGUGUGUUGAUUUAAGUCGCAAUCGAUUCACGCAAUUGCCGGACAAAUUAAAUUUGAUAAAAUCUGUUGAAGAUUUGAAAUUAUUUUGCAAUCAAUUGGUGUCAUUGCCCGAGUGGAUCGGCGAGCUUUGCCGUCAUUUGAGAUACUUGGACCUGAGUAAAAACCAAUUGACGAAUCUACCAGAUAGCAUUGGAAUGCUAGAACUUCUACGUGAAAUUAAUAUUUCCCAUAAUAAAUUUACGCUGGUACCUGAAUGUAUUUAUAAUAUAAGUCACUUGGAAAUACUGAUCGUUCAUGACAAUCGCGUGAAAGAAAUAGACGCAUCAUCAUUAGCUAAAUUAAAACGACUAGCUAAAUUAGAUUUGUCGAAUAACGACAUUGGGAAUGUGCCUCCCGAGUUGGGAAAUCAAACAAAUAUCAGUUGAUUAUUUGUUCAUUUUCCUGAAUAGUUAAGAUAUCGUAAACCAUCAGUAAUAUAUAUAGAAAUACAUAUUAUGAUGUUGGACCCUUGAGCAUUGUAUCUCACUGCAUGUUACGCAUUGUUACGCUCAGUGCAAAGUCAUCGCCACGAUUGUCAUCUUAUCGAGUGUGGACUCUACUACUGUCGGGGAAUUGUUUUAAACAACCACGUCACGAUACAUUAGUCAAAGGAACCGAAGAAAUUCUUUCCUAUUUACGAAAUCGAAUUCCGUUGUAAUAAUUCAACAUUUUGAAAUUAAUGCCAAAGUAAUUGUGCCUCAUUACAAAUUACAAGCAAAUUAAAUUUAAAAAUAAUAAAAGUCAAAUUAUUCUAAAUAUUCUAUAAAGAUGGAGAUUUAUAAUAAACAAAAAUUACUGAUUAUAAAA
Molecule: RNA transcript, 2366 nt
Organism: Microplitis mediator
Lineage: Eukaryota; Metazoa; Arthropoda; Insecta; Hymenoptera; Braconidae
Gene name: leucine-rich repeat-containing protein 40-like
Exons: 11
Source: RefSeq, a predicted model, not a curated record